This 254-nucleotide ribosomal RNA is filed under the name uncultured bacterium. RNAcentral's name for it is "partial 16S ribosomal RNA". It matches the Rfam family "Bacterial small subunit ribosomal RNA", at positions 524 to 776 of the family's 1533-position model. The record is from RNAcentral.
UACGUAGGGUGCGAGCGUUGUCCGGAAUUAUUGGGCGUAAAGAGCUUGUAGGCGGUUUGUCGCGUCUGCCGUGAAAAUCCGGGGGCUCAACCCCGGACUUGCGGUGGGUACGGGCAGACUAGAGUGUGGUAGGGGAGACUGGAAUUCCUGGUGUAGCGGUGAAAUGCGCAGAUAUCAGGAGGAACACCGAUGGCGAAGGCAGGUCUCUGGGCAUUAACUGACGCUGAGACACGAAAGCCAGGGGAGCAAACGGG